GUCUCCUACGGGGGGCAGCAGUGGGGAAUAUUGGGCAAUGGGCGCAAGCCUGACCCAGCAACGCCGCGUGAAGGAAGAAGGCUUUCGGGUUGUAAACUUCUUUUCUCAGGGACGAAGCAAGUGACGGUACCUGAGGAAUAAGCCACGGCUAACUACGUGCCAGCAGCCGCGGUAAUACGUAGGUGGCAAGCUUUAUCCGGAUUUACUGGGUGUAAAGGGCGUGUAGGCGGGGACGCAAGUCAGAUGUGAAAACCACGGGCUCAACCUGUGGCCUGCAUUUGAAACUGUGUUUCU
RNAcentral lists this ribosomal RNA (294 nucleotides) under uncultured bacterium. RNAcentral's name for it is "partial 16S ribosomal RNA". It matches the Rfam family "Bacterial small subunit ribosomal RNA", at positions 334 to 642 of the family's 1533-position model. The record is from RNAcentral.